Molecule: ribosomal RNA, 253 nt
Filed under: uncultured bacterium
Lineage: Bacteria
Description: partial 16S ribosomal RNA
Rfam family: Bacterial small subunit ribosomal RNA
Source: RNAcentral
UACGAAGGGUGCAAGCGUUACUCGGAAUUACUGGGCGUAAAGCGUGCGUAGGUGGUUUGUUAAGUCUGUUGUGAAAGCCCCGGGCUCAACCUGGGAAUGGCAAUGGAUACUGGCAAGCUAGAGUGCGGUAGAGGGUAGUGGAAUUCCACGUGUAGCGGUGAAAUGCGUAGAGAUGUGGAGGAACACCAGUGGCGAAGGCGACUCUUUGGGACGGUACUAACGCUGAGACGCGAAAGCGUGGGGAGCGAACAGG